CAGUGGAAGUCUUUAACCAGGGCGCGAGGGAGGGGUGGCUUUGACAUUCGCGAACUGGCCGCAAGCGGUGGAAGCGGCCACAGCCCUCAACUCUCGUGGGACUGCAGGGUGGGCGCUUCUUUCUUUCUUCUUUUUUGCAGGGAGGCUUCGACUUACGACCGGAGUUGAGCCCAACAUUUCCGCUGUUAAGUGAGACAUGUGUGAAUUGUGGCCCAAAUUCCUGGAUGAUACUAGGUUGUGGACAGAUGGUCUACUCUAACUUUCUCCAUCAUAGGACCCUCCAGAUGUGUGAAUUUCAGCUUCCAGAAUUCCCAGCCAGAUGACAGAGUUGGAAGGGAUCUUGGAAGUCUUCUAGUCCAUCCCUCUGCACAAGCAGGAAACCCUAUACCAUUUCAGACAAAUGGUUGACCAAUCUCUUCUUAAAAAUCUCCAGGGUUGGAGCACCCACAAGUUCUGAAGGCAAGUCGUUCCACUGAUUAAUU
Molecule: non-coding RNA, 482 nt
Organism: Pantherophis guttatus
Lineage: Eukaryota; Metazoa; Chordata; Lepidosauria; Squamata; Colubridae
Source: RefSeq, a predicted model, not a curated record